UACGGAGGGUGCAAGCGUUAAUCGGAAUUACUGGGCGUAAAGCGCGCGUAGGCGGCUUGUUAAGUCGGAUGUGAAAUCCCCGAGCUCAACUUGGGAACUGCAUCCGAUACUGGCUAGCUAGAGUGUGGUAGAGGGAAGUGGAAUUCCAGGUGUAGCGGUGAAAUGCGUAGAUAUCUGGAGGAACAUCAGUGGCGAAGGCGGCUUCCUGGACCAACACUGACGCUGAGGCGCGAAAGCGUGGGGAGCAAAC
RNAcentral lists this ribosomal RNA (250 nucleotides) under uncultured bacterium. Its description in RNAcentral is "partial 16S ribosomal RNA". It matches the Rfam family "Bacterial small subunit ribosomal RNA", at positions 524 to 773 of the family's 1533-position model. The record is from RNAcentral.